GACGAACGCUGGCGGCGUGCUUAACACAUGCCAGUCGAACGCUGAAGCUUGGUGCUUGCACUGGGUGGAUGAGUGGCGAACGGGUGAGUAAUACGUGAGUAACCUGCCCUUGACUCUGGGAUAAGCCUGGGAAACUGGGUCUAAUACUGGAUAUGACAUGCCACUGCAUGGUGGUGUGUGGAAAGGGUUUUACUGGUUUUGGAUGGGCUGACGGCCUAUCAGCUUGUUGGGUGGGUAAUGGCCUAGCAAGGCGACGACGGGUAGCCGGCCUGAGAGGGUGACCGGACACGCUGGGCUGGAAACAAGGCCCAGACUCCUACGGGAGGCAACGGUGGAGUAUAGUGCACAAGGGGCGGAAGCCUGAUGUAGCGAAGCCGCGUGAGGGAUGACGUCCUUCGGGUUGUAAACCACUUUCAGCACGGAAGAAGCGAGAGUGACGGUACGGGCAGAAGAAGCGCCGGCUAACUACGUG
Molecule: ribosomal RNA, 472 nt
Filed under: uncultured bacterium
Lineage: Bacteria
Description: partial 16S ribosomal RNA
Rfam family: Bacterial small subunit ribosomal RNA
Source: RNAcentral